UUGGGGUAUCGAUAACGAUUAGAGACCGUUGUAGUCCCAACCACAAACUUUGCUGACUGGCAAUGUGCGGCAGCCGUCUCGGCGGCGCCGUGCGGGGCCUAGGCGAAAGCAUAGUCUUCGAGUCUCGUGGAGAGUAUGCACGCAAGUGUGAAAUUUAAAGAGAUUGGCGGGCCCCCAUACAGGGACUGGGAUACGCGAUUCAAUUUGAUUCAACACGGGACAACUUACCAGGGCCGCGACGCGUGUGAGCCGCCUGGUUGCAGACCGGUGGCGAUUGCGUCUGAGGUUGUGCAUGGCCACCCUAAGCCGGUGGAGUAGUUUUUUGGUUAAGUCCGUUAAUCGGCGAGACCCGCGCCUCCAGUUCAGCUGGAGGGACCGGGCAGCGCAAGCGCCAGGUAGGUCGGUCAAAGGUAGGUCCGUGAUGCAAA
RNAcentral lists this ribosomal RNA (428 nucleotides) under microcytid environmental sample. RNAcentral describes it as "SSU rRNA". It matches the Rfam family "Eukaryotic small subunit ribosomal RNA", at positions 990 to 1475 of the family's 1831-position model. The record is from RNAcentral. Lineage: Eukaryota; Endomyxa; Ascetosporea; Mikrocytida; Mikrocytiidae.